AUACCGGCAGCUCGAGUGAUGGCCGCUAUUAUUGGGCCUAAAGCGUCCGUAGCCGGCUAGACAGGUCCGUCGGGAAAUCCACCCGCUCAACGGGUGGGCGUCCGGCGGAAACCAGCUAGCUUGGGACCGAGCGACCUGAGGGGUACGUCUGGGGUAGGAGUGAAAUCCCGUAAUCCCGGACGGACCAUCGGUGGCGAAAGCGCCUCAGGAGAGCGGAUCCGACGGUGAGGGACGAAAGCUAGGGUCUCGAACCGGAUUAGAUACCCGGGUAGUCCUAGCCGUAAGCGAUGCUCGCUAGGUGUGGCGCUGGCUACGAGCCAGCGCUGUGCCGUAGGGAAGCCGUGAAGCGAGCCGCCUGGGAAGUACGUCCGCAAGGAUGAA
Molecule: ribosomal RNA, 381 nt
Filed under: uncultured bacterium
Lineage: Bacteria
Also listed under: 1 other name
Description: bacterial SSU rRNA
Rfam family: Archaeal small subunit ribosomal RNA
Source: RNAcentral